Molecule: ribosomal RNA, 406 nt
Filed under: uncultured bacterium
Lineage: Bacteria
Description: partial 16S ribosomal RNA
Rfam family: Bacterial small subunit ribosomal RNA
Source: RNAcentral
AUUGAACGCUGGCGGCAGGCCUAACACAUGCAAGUCGGGCGAGUGGCGGACGGGUGAGUAAUGUAUGGGGAACUGCCUGAUGGAGGGGGAUAACUACUGGAAACGGUAGCUAAUACCGCAUACCAUCAGAUGAACCCAUAUGGGAUUAGCUUGUAGGUGGGGUAACGGCUCACCAAGGCGACGAUCCCUAGCUGGUCUGAGAGGAUGAUCAGCCACACUGGAACUGAGACACGGCCCAGACUCAUACGGGAGGCAGCAGUGGGGAAUAUUGCAAAAUGGGCGCAAGCCUGAUGCAGCCAUGCCGCGUGUAUGAAGAAGGCCUUCGGGUUGUAAAGUACUUUCAGUGGGGAGGCGUUACCGACAGAAGAAGCACCGGCUAACUCCGUGCCAGCCGCCGCGGUAAUAC